CCACAACUUUUCUUCAUACUUAAAUUCUUUUUUUUAUUAUUAUUAUAAUAUAAUUUUAAAAGCUCGAGCUCGAUGCUUGACUCCUUAUCAAAUAAAUAAAUGGAUCGACAGGAUACGUGACAUGCGGACGUGGCAGGAACGAAAAUUUACUUAAAAAUAUAUAGAAUUUUUGGACAUUCUACGGGCAGGAUCGAAAAUCCGCUCCGAAAUAAAUUUGCACGCAUCCUUUUUAGUUACUGAAUGAUUGUUUUACAUCAAUUAAAUGCAUAUUUGAUCGUAGAAAAUCAAAACCAAGUUGGCGCGAGUCCAGUAUUUCGCGCGGGCUGGAGGUAAAAGUUUUGGCGACUAAAUUUUGGUUCCUAAAGGUUCAUUAGUAGCGACUAAACCAAUUUAGUCGCGAAAAGUAUGAAUGCAGGGAAACCAAAUAAAAAAAAACCUAAUUCCAUUCUUCUCCUUUUCACCCGCACGUCGCCUUCACCCCGCCUUCACCCUGCCUUCACCCGCACGUCUGCACGUCGGCAUCGCCCGUUCGCCGGUUCGCCCGUUCGGUCAUCCCUUCGGCGUCGGAGUCCCAAGGUACGUUCUCUUCUCGAUUUUAAUUUAGCAGAGGCCGGGAGGGAGAGGGAGAGGGGAGAGGGAGAGGGAGAGGGAGAGGUGGCCGGAGGUCGUCGGGAAAUUAGGAGGCC
RNAcentral lists this long non-coding RNA (686 nucleotides) under Phoenix dactylifera (date palm). Its description in RNAcentral is "long non-coding RNA (PDAC_LNC003571)". Lineage: Eukaryota; Viridiplantae; Streptophyta; Magnoliopsida; Arecales; Arecaceae. The record is from RNAcentral.